AUGUUAAUGACACCUCUGUGCUUUUGUUGUUGUUUAAUCAAAAAGCCCUGGCUUCUCCUGCCUGCUGUCCCCCUCGAAUCUGUUCUGUGCAAGUUCUUAACUGAUCUCUGCAGAUCUUCUGGGUGCUGGUGGUUUUCUUGCCCAUGUAGGCCAGGGACGAGUGUAGAUGAAAAGGUUAUGGAAAACAACAUGGGGCAGAAUUCAGACGUGAAGGUAUUGACGGAGUGGUUUUCAGCCUUGGGUCCCCAGAUGUUCUUAGACUACAACUCCCAGAAGUCUUCACCACUAGCUAUGCUUGCCAGGAUUCCUGGGAGAUGUGGUCGAAGAACAUCUGGGGAUCCAAGUUUAAGAACCAGUGUACUGGAGGACAGAUCCUGAAGCUGAAGCUCCAAGUGUAGUGGAGGACAGAUCCUGAAGCUGAGGCUCCAAUCCUUUGGCCAUCUCAUGAGAAGAGAAGACUCCCUGGAAAAGACCCUGAUAUUGGGAAAGUGGGAAGGCAAGAGGAGAAGGGGAUGACAGAGGAUGAGAUGGCUGGACAGUGUCAUCGAAGCAACCAACAUGAAUUUGAUCCAGCUCUGGGAGGCCGUGGAGGACAGGUGGGCCUGGCGUGCUGUGGUCCGUGGGGUCACGAAGAGUCGGACAUGACUAAACAACAAGUACUGGAGGAAUCUCUGGGUUGGAAUCUCCCAGUCCUGGCAGGGAGAAAACUCUGGGUUGGAAUCUCCCAGUCCUGGCAGAUGUUAAGUGGUGACUGUUUGGAGGAGAAAGCUGGCCAAAGGGCUAGGAGUGAUAAGGGAGUGCUGCUGUGAAGUUGCAAAGAAUUGGGACUGCCUUUAGAAGGACCAUCAAGGAAUGCGUCAAGCCAUUGGUUCAGUUUUUGCAAAAGAACCCACAUGUGCUGUAUGUUACAUCUCUACUUCUUAAUUCUAAAUAGAGGAGACAUCAUGAUUACAGUGGGACAGUGUGAGGGGGAAGGCACCCCGUACAUGCUCAGAGUCCUUUUGCUUCAUUGUAGAACUCCGGUUCAUAGUUCACUGGGAGAGAACCUUGGAAACCCAGUGCCUGAAUGGGCAUUAUUGAGUUAUAUAAACCAAUGCUUUGAUGUGGGAAAAUCACAAAGCUGUAAGUUGGAAGGAAUAUCCAAGGUCAUGUAAUCCAACCUCCUUCUGAAGCGGGAAAUCACAGCGAAAGCAACCUCACUAGGUCCAACAUCUGCUUAAAAACCUCCAGUGAAGGGGGAGAGAACCUUGGAAACCCAGUGCCUGAAUGGGCAUUAUUGAGUUAUAUAAACCAAUGCUUUGAUGUGGGAAAAUCACAAAGCUGUAAGUUGGAAGGAAUAUCCAAGGUCAUGUAAUCCAACCUCCUUCUGAAGCGGGAAAUCACAGCGAAAGCAACCUCACUAGGUCCAACAUCUGCUUAAAAACCUCCAGUGAAGGAGAGUAGAGCGCCUUCUGAAGUGGGAAAUCACAGCGAAAGCAACCUCACUACGUCCAACAUCACCUUAAAAACCUCCAGUGAAGGAGAGUCCUUGAUGUAUUCUGAUUCACUACGGAGGAACUUUUACAGUCAUGAAGUUCUACCUACUGUAAGUUCAGCUUUCUAUGUUCCUAAUAUUUCAGGUCUGUUUCGUACGCAAUGCGUCACGCUGAGGCCAAGACCAAAUGGGUUUGUGCUACAUACAGUAAGUGUCAUCGAUAGGGGUACACUUUUCAGAUUUUCAGGUUUCCCAUAAUUCUCUAUUCGGGGAGUUUGGUCUGACAGACAGACAUCUAAAUGUGACUCACCUGGGAGAAAGGCCUGGAUAAGGCUCUGAGCCCUGGCUAGGCCUAGCUGAGCCUAAACUUUCUUGUCUUGCCCCAGAGCUAUCUGGAAGUUUCCUGAACAGGAAGAGGUGGAGCUAGGCCUAGCGAAGCCUUAGAGUCUUCGAGCUGAGCCACAUUUAAAUGUCCAAAAGAUGUCUGUCAGCCGACUAGAGUGGUCUUAAGUGACCAGAUAGGCUGGAUAAGGCUCUGAGCCCUGGCUAGGCCUAGCUGAGCCUAAACUUUCUUGUCUUGCCCCAGAGCUAUCUGGAAGUUUCCUGAACAGGAAGAGGUGGAGCUAGGCCUAGCGAAGCCUUAGAGUCUUCGAGCUGAGCCACAUUUAAAUGUCCAAAAGAUGUCUGUCAGCCGACUAGAGUGGUCUUAAGUGACCAGAUAGGCGGGAUAUGAGUUGAGCCACAUUUAGAUGUCCAAAAGAUGUCUGUCAGGUAGAACUAGAAUACAGAAUUAUGGGAUUUGUAGUCUUAAGAAAUUUUUAAAAAACACACCUAUUCCUAGUAAUUCAUUUAUAUUUAUCUGGAACUGAACUAGAAUACAGAAUUAUAGGAUUUGUAGUCUUAAGAAAUUUUUUAAAAACACACCUAUUACUAGUAAUUCAUUUAUAUUUAUCUGGAACUAAGUUCCCUCGAACUCAAUAGGGUUUCUGAGUAAGCAAGCAUAGGAUUCUAGUUUAAACGAGGAAGUAGGGGUCAAGAAUGCCUUAAUCAUCGUACCUGCAAAGAUACUCGCUCAACUGCUGUUACCGCUUCUUUCGCUCUGUGGUCUUUGGAUGUUGUUUGAUAUCCUCUGUAAUAGCCGGUAAAAAUUCCGUCCAUCUUGCAUGACUAUGUGGCUGCGGAGAAAACCCUUUGAAAGCAAUGAGGAAGGGAGCGAAAAGGAGAUGAGGAAAUUGAUUAGAUGCUGCAGGCCAUUGUUGGCUGAGAACAACCACAUAAUUUGUUCCUCUGCCUUCAACCUGAAGAUUAGAUUUUAUUUAUCCAGACCUUCCAUCUAAAUUUGGGAUUCUAAUAAAAAUAAAUGAGCAGGAGUUUUGGCA
Molecule: long non-coding RNA, 2853 nt
Organism: Pogona vitticeps (central bearded dragon)
Lineage: Eukaryota; Metazoa; Chordata; Lepidosauria; Squamata; Agamidae
Source: Ensembl